UACGAGGGGGGCAAAUGUUGUUCGGAAUCACUGGGCGUAAAGGGAGCGUAGGUGGGAGUUUAAGUUGGGUGUUUAAUCCCGGGGCCUAACCCCGGACCGGCACCCAAAACUGGGCUUCUUGAAUGGGACAGAGGCUAAUGGAAUUGGAGGUGUAGCGGUGGAAUGCGUAGAGAUCUCCAAGAACACCAGUUGCGAAGGCGGUUAGCUGGGUCCACAUUGACACUGAGGCUCGAAAGCGUGGGGAGCAAACAGG
RNAcentral lists this ribosomal RNA (253 nucleotides) under uncultured bacterium. RNAcentral's name for it is "partial 16S ribosomal RNA". It matches the Rfam family "Bacterial small subunit ribosomal RNA", at positions 524 to 776 of the family's 1533-position model. The record is from RNAcentral.